This 468-nucleotide ribosomal RNA is filed under the name uncultured bacterium. Its description in RNAcentral is "partial 16S ribosomal RNA". It matches the Rfam family "Bacterial small subunit ribosomal RNA", at positions 28 to 507 of the family's 1533-position model. The record is from RNAcentral.
GACGAACGCUGGCGGCGUGCUUAACACAUGCAAGUCGAACGGAAAGGCCCUGCUUUUGUGGGGUGCUCGAGUGGCGCACGGGUGAGUAACACGUGAGUAACCUGCCCUUGACUUUGGGAUAACUUCAGGCAACUGGGGCUAAUACCGGAUAGGAGCUCCUGCUGCAUGGUGGGGGUUGGAAAGUUUCGGCGGUUGGGGAUGGACUCGCGGCUUAUCAGCUUGUUGGUGGGGUAGUGGCUUACCAAGGCUUUGACGGGUAGCCGGCCUGAGAGGGUGACCGGCCACAGUGGGACUGAGAUACGGCCCAGACUCCUACGGGAGGCAGCAGUGGGGAAUAUUGCACAAUGGGCGGAAGCCUGAUGCAGCAACACCGCGUGCGGGAUGACGGCCUUCGGGUUGUAAACCGCUUUCGCCUGUGACGAAGCGUGAGUGACGGUAAUGGGUAAAGAAGCACCGGCUAACUACGUG